Molecule: ribosomal RNA, 433 nt
Filed under: uncultured bacterium
Lineage: Bacteria
Description: partial 16S ribosomal RNA
Rfam family: Bacterial small subunit ribosomal RNA
Source: RNAcentral
AACGAACGCUGGCGGCAUGCCUAACACAUGCAAGUCGAACGAGACCUUCGGGUCUAGUGGCGCACGGGUGCGUAACGCGUGGGAACCUGCCCUUAUGUUCGGAAUAACUCCCCGAAAGGGGUGCUAAUACCGGAUAAUGUCUUCGGACCAAAGAUUUAUCGCCUUUGGAUGGGCCCGCGUUGGAUUAGCUAGUUGGUAGGGUAAAAGCCUACCAAGGCGACGAUCCAUAGCUGGUCUGAGAGGCUGAUCAGCCACACUGGGACUGAGACACGGCCCAGACUCCUACGGGAGGCAGCAGUGGGGAAUAUUGGACAGUGGGCGAAAGCCUGAUCCAGCAAUGCCGCGUGAGUGAUGAAGGCCUUAGGGUUGUAAAGCUCUUUUACCCGGGAUGAUAAUGACAGUACCGGGAGAAUAAGCUCCGGCUAACUCCGUG